CUUAGUGAUUUACCCCCGAUGGCCACCGCCUCUCUUCUCCGUUCGCUCCGCCGCCGCGAGCUCCUCUCCGCUUAAAGAUCCGUAUCUGCAAAUGGAAAGACUCCUUUGGCUGGAAAAUUGGGUUUCUUUGUGAGGCCUUUCAGUGUCGGUAAUGAUGUUGACUUGGGUACCACCAAUUCCAAAUCUAUGGAAGGAAAGGUUCAGAGAUCUGCUGACUUGUGAUCCUUCUUCUUUAAGGCGACUUCUCGUUCUCCCUUUUGAUCUGGAGAGCAGCGCUCACGACAUUUCCC
Molecule: long non-coding RNA, 290 nt
Organism: Tarenaya hassleriana
Lineage: Eukaryota; Viridiplantae; Streptophyta; Magnoliopsida; Brassicales; Cleomaceae
Exons: 4
Source: RefSeq, a predicted model, not a curated record